This 419-nucleotide ribosomal RNA is filed under the name bacterium. RNAcentral describes it as "partial 16S ribosomal RNA". It matches the Rfam family "Bacterial small subunit ribosomal RNA", at positions 355 to 776 of the family's 1533-position model. The record is from RNAcentral.
UGGGGGAUAUUGCACAAUGGGCGAAAGCCUGAUGCAGCGACGCCGCGUGGGGGAUGAAGGCCUUCGGGUUGUAAACUUCUUUUGCUCUGAACAAGGCAUGCUAAUGGGUGUGUUGAGUGUAGGGGUUGAUUAGCGCCGGCUAACUACGUGCCAGCAGCCGCGGUAAUACGUAGGGCGCGAGCGUUGUCCGGAAUUAUUGGGCGUAAAGGGCUUGUAGGUGGCUGGUUGCGUCUGUCGUGAAAGCUCAUGGCUUAACUGGGGGUUUGCGGUGGGUACGGGCUGGCUAGAGUGCAGUAGGGGAGGCUGGAAUUCCUGGUGUAGCGGUGGAAUGCGCAGAUAUCAGGAGGAAUACCGGUGGCGAAGGCGGGUCUCUGGGCUGUUACUGACGCUGAGGAGCGAAAGCAUGGGGAGCGAACAGG